UCCGGAAUUAUUGGGCGUAAAGAGCUCGUAGGCGGCUGGUCGCGUCUGUCGUGAAAUCCUCUGGCUUAACUGGGGGCUUGCGGUGGGUACGGGCCGGCUUGAGUGCGGUAGGGGAGACUGGAAUUCCUGGUGUAGCGGUGGAAUGCGCAGAUAUCAGGAGGAACACCGGUGGCGAAGGCGGGUCUCUGGGCCGUUACUGACGCUGAGGAGCGAAAGCGUGGGGAGCGAACAGGAUUAGAUACCCUGGUAGUCCACGCCGUAAACGUUGGGCACUAGGUGUGGGGGGCCUUUUCCGGGUUCUUCCGCGCCGUAGCUAACGCAUUAAGUGCCCCGCCUGGGGAGUACGGCCGCAAGGCUAAAACUCAAAGGAAUUGACGGGGGCCCGCACAAGCGGCGGAGCAUGCGGAUUAAUUCGAUGCAACGCGAAGAACCUUACCAAGGCUUGACAUGAGGGCGAUCGUCCCGGAGACGGGGCUUCCAUUUUUUGGCGCUCUUACAGGUGGUGCAUGGUUGUCGUCAGCUCGUGUCGUGAGAUGUUGGGUUAAGUCCCGCAACGAGCGCAACCCUUGUCCUGUGUUGCCAGCACGUUGUGGUGGGGACUCGCGGGAGACUGCCGGGGUCAACUCGGAGGAAGGUGGGGAUGACGUCAAAUCAUCAUGCCCCUUAUGUCUUGGGCUUCACGCAUGCUACAAUGGCCGGUACAGAGGGCUGCGAUGCUGUGAGGCGGAGCGAAUCCCUUAAAGCCGGUCUCAGUUCGGAUCGGUGUCUGCAACUCGACACCGUGAAGUUGGAGUCGCUAGUAAUCGCAGAUCAGCAACGCUGCGGUGAAUACGUUCUCGGGCCUUGUACACACCGCCCGUCACGUCAUGAAAGCUGGCAACACCCGAAGCCCGU
RNAcentral lists this ribosomal RNA (894 nucleotides) under Actinomyces bowdenii. Its description in RNAcentral is "bacterial SSU rRNA". It matches the Rfam family "Bacterial small subunit ribosomal RNA", at positions 544 to 1431 of the family's 1533-position model. The record is from RNAcentral. Lineage: Bacteria; Bacillati; Actinomycetota; Actinomycetes; Actinomycetales; Actinomycetaceae.